RNAcentral lists this ribosomal RNA (468 nucleotides) under uncultured bacterium. RNAcentral's name for it is "partial 16S ribosomal RNA". It matches the Rfam family "Bacterial small subunit ribosomal RNA", at positions 28 to 507 of the family's 1533-position model. The record is from RNAcentral.
GACGAACGCUGGCGGCGUGCUUAACACAUGCAAGUCGAACGGAAAGGCCCUGCUUGUGUGGGGUGCUCGAGUGGCGAACGGGUGAGUAACACGUGAGUAACCUGCCCUUGACUUUGGGAUAACUUCAGGAAACUGGGGCUAAUACCGGAUAGGAGCUCCUGCUGCAGGGUGGGGGUUGGAAAGUUUCGGCGGUUGGGGAUGGACUCGCGGCUGAUCAGCUUGUUGGUGGGGUAGUGGCUUACCAAGGCUUGGACGGGUAGCCGGCCUGAGAGGGUGACCGGCCACAAUGGGCCUGAGAUACGGCCCAGUCUCCUACGGGAGGCAGCAGUGGGGAAUAUUGCACAAUGGGCGCACGCCUGAUGCAGCAACGCCGCGUGCGUGAUGACGGCCUUCGGGUUGUAAACCGCUUUCGCCUGUGACGAAGCGUGAGUGACGGUACUGGGUAAAGAAGCACCGGCUAACUACGUG